UGAGUGAGUGAGGGAAGGUGGGGGAGAGCAAGCAACAGAGGGAAGGGGAUGGAGUGAGCAGGGGGGGCGGGCUAGGGGUAGGGACAGGGCAAGGGUGUUUGGUUUUGUGUGAUUAGAAAGUUGGCAACCCUAUUUGGAAAACCCCCGUCUGAUACUGAGGUAGCUGGCUCCAGCAGCUUCCAGUGCAGUAUGUCUGGAUGGGCCUUUCUGGCAGGGACACCAAACAGGCAACCAGAGAAAUUGAGAAAUUGUUAGGAAGAGGUGAAACGCUUGUGCUGCGGCUUGACUGGGCCAUGCCGCUUUUCACUCUCCUCCAUACAGCCAGCCCUGGAGGGACUAGAGGGAUAGCAGCCCAGACAUAGACAAACUUGUAGGCUGACCAUGUGUGAGAUGGUCCCCCAAAUGGGGGCAAGUGGAAGGAAUUUUCAAAGUGUUGGUUCAAGGCUACAUCAGAAGAACGAAUUUUAGGCAGACAUGUCUAGCCUAGUUUACACUUUAGCAUUAAAUGCAACUCCAAAACCAAGCCUAUUGUCAUCCCCUUCUUCCUCCAACAGGAAGGAAACAUGAGAGUAUGAAGAUUGCAGCAUGUCAUCUGCUUCAGACAGGGGCUCUCAAUGUCAUUUGGAAGAUGGAUUCCGCCAUAUCUGGAUUAAAUUCCUUAUCCUGCAGAUGCAUCUUCUCUCAAUAAGAAAGUGGGAGAAUAUUCUGCUCUGACAAAGGCGUCCUGGACAGUAACUCCACCACAAGGAAAUGCAGCUAUGUUUCCAUGCCCUCUUGCCCAGGUUUAGCACUGCUGCAAAGCCCCAAAUCCAGAUUACAUAAUCCCCUCUUCCAAAGUGUAAACAUGAUUUUAUAAUACUAUAAAUAUGCAUAUAUAAAUAUACUUUGUAUUUUUUCAAGAUCUUUGUUAGAAACUGGCUAAUUUAACACUUCAAGGAGUAUGUGCUGAGAAUGAUGUGCUGUAGCCUAUUCAUAUAAAAUUGUGUGUAGCUUUAAAAAAUAUUAAAAUUAACUUCACCCUUACAGCAUAUUUCAUCCAUGUUUCCCCAAGACACAUGCCCACAGGUUCCUCUGCUUCUUGUUCUUUCUUAUUUCAUUUUGGGGAUGUGUUUUCGUAUUUUUUGUUUUGUUUCAAAAGGUUCUGCAUAUAGUGGGAGGUGAGGCAACACUGGUCUUGGCAGAACACCACAAAACCAAGAGAGUAAUUACAUGACGCAAGUCUUUGAUUAUUUUUUUCUCUGUAAAACUUUCUGGCACGGCUGGGCAUUCCAGUUGCAAAAGAAGGAACGGGAGAAGAAACUUCUAAAGAUCUGCACGGAGAGUUAGAAGAACUUUUCUGUUAAAGUUUUACUACCUAAAAUAAAAGCACUUCCCAGCGCA
RNAcentral lists this long non-coding RNA (1380 nucleotides) under Chrysemys picta bellii (western painted turtle). RNAcentral's name for it is "lncRNA (ENSCPBG00000020703.1)". The record is from RNAcentral. Lineage: Eukaryota; Metazoa; Chordata; Testudines; Emydidae.